Molecule: transfer RNA, 73 nt
Filed under: Salmonella enterica subsp. enterica serovar Panama
Lineage: Bacteria; Pseudomonadati; Pseudomonadota; Gammaproteobacteria; Enterobacterales; Enterobacteriaceae
Description: tRNA-Val
Rfam family: tRNA
About the family: Transfer RNA (tRNA) molecules are approximately 80 nucleotides in length.
Source: RNAcentral
GGGUGAUUAGCUCAGCUGGGAGAGCACCUCCCUUACAAGGAGGGGGUCGGCGGUUCGAUCCCGUCAUCACCUA